This 497-nucleotide ribosomal RNA is filed under the name alpha proteobacterium BAC212P. RNAcentral describes it as "bacterial SSU rRNA". It matches the Rfam family "Bacterial small subunit ribosomal RNA", at positions 960 to 1455 of the family's 1533-position model. Lineage: Bacteria; Pseudomonadati; Pseudomonadota; Alphaproteobacteria. The record is from RNAcentral.
CGCAGAAACCUUACCAGCCCUUGACAUGUCUAUGACCGGAUAACAGAGAUGGAACCUUCCCUUCGGGGCAUAGAGCACAGGUGCUGCAUGGCUGUCGUCAGCUCGUGUCGUGAGAUGUUGGGUUAAGUCCCGCAACGAGCGCAACCCCCGUCCUUAGUUGCUACCAUUUAGUUGAGCACUCUAAGGAGACUGCCGGUGAUAAGCCGCGAGGAAGGUGGGGAUGACGUCAAGUCCUCAUGGCCCUUACGGGCUGGGCUACACACGUGCUACAAUGGCGGUGACAAUGGGACGCUAAGGGGCAACCCUUCGCAAAUCUCAAAAAGCCGUCUCAGUUCGGAUUGGGCUCUGCAACUCGAGCCCAUGAAGUUGGAAUCGCUAGUAAUCGUGGAUCAGCAUGCCACGGUGAAUACGUUCCCGGGCCUUGUACACACCGCCCGUCACACCAUGGGAGUUGGUUCUACCUGAAGGCAGUGUGCUAACCCGCAAGGAGGCAGCUA